This 313-nucleotide long non-coding RNA is filed under the name Homo sapiens (human). RNAcentral describes it as "HSALNT0078121". The record is from RNAcentral. Lineage: Eukaryota; Metazoa; Chordata; Mammalia; Primates; Hominidae.
GAGAACAGUGGGUAUUCAUAUUCAAAGACUGAUGGGCCGUCCACUGUUGGCAGUCUGUAUGCUCAGAAUUCCUGUGGUUUCUGCACAGCAACUGGACAUCAGUGCUAAAAUCCCUCUUUACUCUCUCACAUGCAAGGCACUGGCACCUCUCUAUUCCAUCUCCCUAGUUCCAGUGUUCCCUCCUUACAAGCAUUGUGUCUUUGAGGAGUUGAAAAUUCACUCUGAAAGGUGCUACCAGAAUCUUGAUGACACAUGCUCCAGCCAAAGGCACCUUUGAGAAUUGUCUCUUGGGAACCCACAACAUCUAGAGAAG